CAGUAGCCGCGGGAAUACGUAGGUCCCGAGCGCUGUCCGGAUCUAUUGGGCGUAAAGCGAGCGCAGGCGGUUUGAUGAGUCUGAAGUUAAAGGCUGUGGCUCAACCAUAGUUCGCUUUGGAAACUGUCAAACUUGAGUGCAGAAGGGGAGAGUGGAAUUCCAUGUGUAGCGGUGAAAUGCGUAGAUAUAUGGAGGAACACCGGUGGCGAAAGCGGCUCCCUGGUCUGUAACUGACGCUGAGGCUCGAAAGCGUGGGGCGCAAACAGGAUUAGAUACCCGCGUAGUCCCUGUCUCUUAUACC
This 301-nucleotide ribosomal RNA is filed under the name uncultured bacterium. RNAcentral describes it as "partial 16S ribosomal RNA". It matches the Rfam family "Bacterial small subunit ribosomal RNA", at positions 509 to 808 of the family's 1533-position model. The record is from RNAcentral.